GGACAAACACAGGGUCCACAUACUUUUUCCUGCGACUGUAUCCUUGAUCACAUUGUGGUGACCCACAAGUAAGACAAAAAGAGACAUUCACCAAGGGACUGUACCUUUAAGGGAGAGAGGUUGGUAAGAGAGUUCCGGGUUCACGGGUUAGUGUUUUGAUCUCGUACACUGUACAGUGUUAUAUUGAAGUGGAGAGUAAAGCUGACUCGACGCACAACUGUCUCUUGUCUCCUCACUAAUUACACUCCGCAACAUAUUCCUUUUCAUUCAGAAAUAAGUCACAUUGCACAGGAUGAAGAUGCUUAAAGGCACGGUAGGUAAGUUUGAGAUACUAGCAACAAACUGCUGGAUUUUUGAAAGUAUCCAACAGAGAAACUCCCACCCCCUCCCUUUUGGGCUCCUUUCAAAGCCACGCCCCCAAAACAAGUGAACACUGCAGGAGGACAAGCACAGUGUGACAAGCAGAAAGCAGCAUGGUGCAGCGGCUCACAUCAGGGAGCUUCCACGGUGACAGCAUUAUUGUUUCCGAUGAGAACUGCACUUCAGAGCCAAGCACAGACCGGGACAGGACCAGGACCAGCCUGGGGUCAAGGCGAAGCAAGGAGGACGAGGUGCAAGCCGAGCAGCACAUAUUCUAUGACCUGCGUCAAGCUUCACACUCCAACGGCAUAUGAACAGACCAGAAUCUGAGGACAACAUCAAGACUACAGUGUUUCCAUGCACCACACAUGGUUGAUCUUCCAGACCCAGGACAGAGUAACAGACAGUUCAGUCAGCAUACAGACAGUUUACAGUGUGGAGCACUUACUUAAUACUGAGUUGCUGUUUCUGGGAGAUAUGCAACUGUUCACCUGAUCCACCAGGACAAUACAGAGGUUUAAUCCUAGCAGGGUGUAAGAUGUAAUGUCACUAACUGCUACACAAAUAAUUCCCUCCACUGUGUGGAUGAAUACUGUACUUUGUUAGUUUUAUUCCCAGGAGUAUAGAGAAAAAAAAGUAAGUAAGUAGUAUAUUUUUCCCUGUUCU
Long non-coding RNA from Micropterus salmoides (largemouth bass), 1026 nucleotides. RefSeq lists it as uncharacterized. NCBI's taxonomy places the organism in Eukaryota, Metazoa, Chordata, Actinopteri, Centrarchiformes, Centrarchidae. The transcript has 3 exons. The record is from RefSeq and is a predicted model, not a curated record.